This is a non-coding RNA of Anas platyrhynchos (mallard), 893 nucleotides long. NCBI's taxonomy places the organism in Eukaryota, Metazoa, Chordata, Aves, Anseriformes, Anatidae. The record is from RefSeq and is a predicted model, not a curated record.
UUUUUGGAACACUGAAGGUACAGUUAAAAAUAAUCUGUAAUGAAUUACGCAUACACAUGCACACACAGACAGUAAUGAGCCAUCAACAAAGUCAGACUCCUCUAAACUAAAGGAAUUUUGACCAGCUGGAAAGAGAAGUAGUAAACUUUUAUAUUUACAUUUGUUUGUGCAGAUGUCAGGACACUGACUGUGCAAUCUGCAGCUGUUGGGUAGACGCAGUACAUUACGUGCCACAGCAUUAUUCCUGUCUUAAAGGUGUGUCAUUCAGCUGUAAAUUCCUCCAGCGUAUGCUAUCUUGCCGUCCACAUGGCAGGUAACACCGUGAUCCUCUUCUCUGAUCCUACGCUCUGAAGGAGUUAAAAAUGAGUAUGUUGUUUGUCUUCUAGAGGCCUCCAGGAGUGGAUAUGUCUCCCUGUUGACCAGCUGCUCAAACCAUUUUGGCUCUGUUCACAGUUCACUGGUGUCAACUGGAAGCUUUUCAUAGAUUUCAGUGGGCGUAGUGUGAGGUCUAAAAAUGAAUGAUUAUUGCUCUAAUGUUCAUAAUUUACAUUGCUUAGUAAGUUGAUCACAAUUUAUAGUACACUUUGUACUGCCUGACAAAGAAAAGAUAAAGGUUUAUCAUAGGUUAGAAGCAUGUUACAGAGAACAGUGUUCACUAUGGAAAGUAUAGUCACAGCAGCAGAAGUUCUUGGAUCUGCUUAUAGACACCCUAUUGCUAUAUUAGUUAUAUUCUAUAAAAAUGAGAACAAUAACUGCUUCUGAAAGCUAUUACCUUACAAAAAGACUUUUAAAAGUGAAAACUUAAUAUAUUCUACCCUAAUGUACUUUGGUUCUGCUAGAAAUAUUGGCCUUAAAAAAGAAAACUCAAACUUCCAGCGUUAACGUACAUCAAA